GUUUCGUCCUCUUUUUCCUCGGCCAUGUUUCCUGUAGGAUCUGCGAUUAGGCUUUGCUCCUCUAGAGAACUAAUUUCUCUAUCUUCACAUGAAGCAGGUGCUUUAAUAUCCCCGUCUGCAAAUUGCAUAGACUCGGUUUCUUCUUUUAUCAGUGUACCUUCUGCAGUUUUCUCAUUUUCAAACAAGUUUGCUUUUAUUAAGUUUUCAUCCACAAAUUUGGCCUGAUGCAUAAUUAUGGAGUCAUGAUCUUCGGCAUUUCCCAGAGGAGCUUCUUCCAAAGAAGGGUUUUGUGAGCUUUCUGCUUCGGUUGGUGAGUUAUCUUCAUCAUCUCCAUUUGGGACAUUUGUUGUAAUAUCCUAAAAUGACAGUAAAAGCUUGUUUUCAGGUUAAAGAAGAAAAAUUUAUUCUUCAUUUUGUGAUGUACUAAAUAAGCUAACAGUUAUAGAGAGAGAAUGAUUUUUACCUGAGCCUCAAGACAAUCCUCCUUUGCAUCAGUUACAUCAGUAGUUUGUUCAUUAAUUUCGUCACCCAAGGUUUCUUGUGCUUCUGCAGUUGGAGUUUCCACAUCGAUAGAACUUGGUGAGUUAUCUUCAUUCUGUUCCCUUUGAACAUCUGUGUCAACAUCCCGUACCUCAAGAGUUUGCCCCUCUGUGUAAGUUGCAUCAAAGGUUUUCUCCUCUGUCUUAUCACAUGAGAUUUCUUGUAGAUCCGCAGUUUGAAUUUGCUCAUCUAUAUCGUCCUUCAAAGUACUUUCUGUGGUCUCUCCUGUUUGAGAUGUGAUUUCAGUUUCCUUUUCCAGAUAUUCUUUUUGACAGUCCACUUGGAUCAGUGAGUUCUUUUCAGUCUCAUCGUGUAGAGUAGUUGUUGCAACAUUCUGCAGCAAGAAUAAAGCACUCGUUAAAUUUGUUUAGUUUACAGUAAUAAGAUUGGUAAUAUUCAUUUUUACAUGAUAUUUCAAUAUAUUGUUUAGCAUUGCAAUCAUUUACCAUAAGUAAUUUAUACAAUUCUUACCUUAUCCUCAGGAGUUUCAGUUGCAUCAACUACUUUGUCCUCUUUCUGGUCAUCAAUGAUUCCUGAAGGACUUGUAGUUGGGCCUUGCUCCUCUAGAGAACAUAUUUCUCUAUCUUGACCCGAAGCUGAUGCUUUAAUAUCUUCAUCUGAUACCUCCAAAGAUCUAAUGGAAACUUCCUCCUUUGCCAAACCACCUUCUGUGCUUUCCUCAUUUUCAAACAAUUCGGCUUUUAUUAAGUUCUGAUCUGCUAAUUCGGGCUCAUGUAUAGUUGACUCCUCAUCAUUAUCGUUCCCCAUAAAAACGACUGCAGGUGCUUUAAUAUCCUUAUUAACUACUUCGAAUGAGUCAGCAGCCUUCUCCAUCACUGCGUCGUCUUUCAAAGUUGUUUCCUUGGUCUCUCCUGUUUGAGAUGUGUCUUCACUUUCCUUUUCCAGAUCUUCCUUUUGACAGUCCACUUGGAUCGGUGAGUUCUCUUCAGUCUCCUCAUGUAGAGUAAUAGUUGUUGCAACAUUCUGCACCAAGAAUAAAACACUCGUUAAAUUGAUUAACUUACAUAAGUAUUUUUGGUAAUAAUUUAUUUUUUGCAUGAUAUUUCAAUUUAUUCUAACAAAGUAAUUUAUGUAAUUCUUACCUUAUCCUCAGGGCUCUCAGUUGCAUCAAUUGUUUUGUCUUCUUUUUGGUCAUCAAUGAUUCCUGAAGGACUUGUAGUUAGGCCUUUCUCCUCUAUAGAACUUGUUUUUGUUUCUUGGCCAGAAGUUGAUGCUUUAAUAUCUUCAUCUGAUACCUCCAGUGAUCUAAUGGACACUUCCUGCUGUGCCAAAUAAACUUCUGUGCUUUUUGCAUUUUCAAACAAUUCGGCUUCUAUUAAGCUCUGAUCGGUUACUUUGGACUCAUGUAUAACUGUUGACUCCUCAUAAUUGUCGUUCCCCGUAGAAACGAAAGCAGAUGCUUUAGUAUCCUCCUUAACUACUUCGAAUGAGUCAACAACCUUCUCCACCAAUGCAUCGUCCUUUAAAGUACUUUCUGAGAUCUCUACUGUUUGAGAUGUGUCUUCACUUUCCUUUUCCAGAUCUUCCUUUUGAUAGUCCACUUGGAUCGGUGAGUUCUCUUCACUCUCCUCAUGUAGAGUAGUUGUUGCAGCAUUCUGCACCAGGAAUAAACACUCGUUAAAUUUGUUUUAUUUAAAGAAAUAAGAUUGGUAAUAUAUAUCCUAAGUAAUUUAUACAAUUCUUACCUUAUCCUCAGGAGUUUCAGUUGCAUCAAUUGUUUUGUCCUCUUUUUGGUCAGCAAUUAUUCCUGAAGGACUUGUAGUUAGGCCUUGCUCCUCUAUAGAACAUGUUUCUCGAUCU
This 2361-nucleotide long non-coding RNA is filed under the name Erythranthe guttata (spotted monkey flower). RNAcentral describes it as "long non-coding RNA (EGUT_LNC000197)". Lineage: Eukaryota; Viridiplantae; Streptophyta; Magnoliopsida; Lamiales; Phrymaceae. The record is from RNAcentral.